GGUGUGUCUGUCAGUCGAGUUGUUCCGGUAGUGUUAGAGAGGUGAGUCACGUGGUUGUGUCUGUCAGGUGAGUUGUUCUGGUAGUGUUAGAGAGGUGAGUCACGUGGUUGUGUCUGUCAGGCGAGUUGUUCUGGUAGUGUUAGAGAGGUGAGUCAUGUGGUUGUGUCUGUCAGGCGAGUUGUUCUAGUAGUGUUAGAGAGGUGAGUAACGUUGUUGUGUCUGUCAGGCGAGUUGCUCUGGUAGUGUUAGAGAGGUCAGUCACGUGGUUGUGUCUGUCAGACGAGUCGUUCCGGUAGUGUUAGAGAGGUGAGUCACGUGGUUGUGUCUGACAGGCGAGUUGUUCUGGUAGUGUUAGAGAGGUGAGUCACGUGGUUGUGUCUGUCAGGCGAGUUGUUCUGGUAGUGUUAGAGAGGUGAGUCACGUGGUUGUGUCUGUCAGACGAGUUGUUCCGGUAGUGUUAGAGAAAUGAGUGACGUGGGUGUGUCUGUCAGGCGAGUUGUUCUGGUAGUGUUAGAGAGGUGAGUCACGUGGUUGUGUCUGUCAGGCGAGUUGUUCUGGUAGUGUUAGAGAGGUGAGUCACAUGGUUGUGUCUGUCAGACGAGUUGUUCCGGUAGUGUUAGAGAGGUGAGUCACGUGGUUGUGUCUGUCAGUCG
Molecule: long non-coding RNA, 653 nt
Filed under: Haliotis rubra (blacklip abalone)
Lineage: Eukaryota; Metazoa; Mollusca; Gastropoda; Lepetellida; Haliotidae
Description: uncharacterized LOC124263823, transcript variant X2
Source: RNAcentral